Xiphias gladius (swordfish) is the source of this 1380-nucleotide long non-coding RNA. RefSeq lists it as uncharacterized. The record is from RefSeq and is a predicted model, not a curated record. NCBI's taxonomy places the organism in Eukaryota, Metazoa, Chordata, Actinopteri, Istiophoriformes, Xiphiidae. The transcript has 5 exons.
CACAGUCAGAACAGAGCACCACCACCUGCAACUCAUCUACAUAAUCAAGUCCCUUCAAAUACUCAGCUCUGCCACAUCCACCCUGCCAGAUUGUAGUUUCUGCUACUAGGCCAGCCCCCAUAAUGGACGGCUUCUUCACUUGGGUCUGUAAGAGAACCAUUCCCCUGGACUUGCAUCUCUCAGUCUUGCCCUGAAUCUCCUGAUAUCACUGCAGUGCCUCCUGAGUACCAUGACCUCGCUCAGCUCUUUUAGCAAGCACCGCACCCUGUCCCUGCCUCCCCACCGGCCAAAUGAUUUUGUCAUAACCCUACAGCCCGGCGAUCCUUGCCCAGCAGCAGGUUAUACAAUCUCUCAAACUCCUGGCAGUUAAGCUGGCUCUUGAGGAAUGGCACCACUAGUUGGAGGGCUCCACAAUUCCCUUCAUUGUGUGGAUUGAGCAUAAAAAAAUCUUGCCUACAUCCAAACUGCCAAACGACUCAACACCUGGCCAGGUGGGCCCUGUUGUUUGGCAGUUUCAAUUUCACACUCGCCUACCGUCCUGGCAUCUAGAAAUAUCAAACCAGAUGCCCUCUCCAACAAGUUCACCUCUGAUUCUGGACCCGACCCGGAUCCCAUUUUGCCCUCCACCUGCAUUGUAAAUGUUCCCGGUCCCCUCCUGCAGCAACGCCUGCACCCCCUCGGCUGGUGGUGGACCAUCCUGGCUGUUUAUCCAUUCCUGGGACAGACACGCCUACGCCUUUGCCACUCCCUGAGUGGCUCUCCCGUAUCCCUCUUUCUCUCUCUGUAUGUGUAUGUGUGUCUGUCUUUGGGAUUAUCUGCAGGUGUGCGUCGGAGCAGAGCACCACCACCUGCAACUCAUCCCAAUAAUCAAGACCUUCAAAUAUUCAGCUCUGCCACAUCCAGAUUGUAGUUUCUGCUACUUCUAACCUACCUCAGAUUCCGGCCCAGCACUUCCCUCACUUCCUGGUUCAGUCUGCUGCCCUGUCCCUCCUAGCCAUUCUCUGGAUUUCUAUUCACCCUAACCGAUACAUACUCUCCUGGAUCUGCUUCCUCAGUCUGCCCAGCCCUAGCCAAGAUAGUAUUCCAGUAGCCUGCCCAACUAGCCUGAAUUGACAAUUUAUUUUUACCUGCUUCCAGAUCUCCGAGUCUGUGUCUGCACUUGGGUUCACCAGCCUAGCGCUCUAAAACGUGCAACACUGCAUUUUUACUUUACAUUACCUCUCAUUUUGUGUGUGCGUGACAGACAAACUUUUGACUCAAAUGUUUUUAAUCGUGUUGUGUUAAUUGUUUUACUCUAAGUACCCAGGAGACUCUGGAAAGUUGGAUCUAUACUGAGUGGAUUGUCCUGGUGAAAUAAAGUAAGGAUGUUAAGUCAUUCAA